GGCCUCCUGAUGCUUACCACAGGCUGUGUUCUUACACUGACUGUACAGAAACAGGAGGCAGAGUAAACCUAUCCCAUAUACACCUCAGCUCAGGCCCUUUGGUCUGUAUUGUGAAUGGGGAGACAUUG
RNAcentral lists this small nucleolar RNA (128 nucleotides) under Myotis davidii. Its description in RNAcentral is "Small nucleolar RNA SNORA51". It matches the Rfam family "Small nucleolar RNA SNORA51". Rfam says of the family: ACA51 is a member of the H/ACA class of snoRNA that guide the sites of modification of uridines to pseudouridines. The record is from Rfam by way of RNAcentral. Lineage: Eukaryota; Metazoa; Chordata; Mammalia; Chiroptera; Vespertilionidae.